AAUGAACGCUGGCGGCGUGCCUAACACAUGCAAGUCGGAUGUGCCGCAAGGUGCAUGGCAGACGGGUGAGCAACGCGUGGGCAAUCUACCUAUCAGUGGGGAAUAACGAUCCGAAAGGAUUGGUAAUACCGCAUGCGACCAUUGACUGGGAUGUUGGUGGUGAAACCUGGGGACCGCAAGGCCUGGGGCUGAUAGAGGAACCUGCGUCUGAUUAGCUAGUUGGCGGGGUAACGGCCCACCAAGGCGACGAUCAGUAGCCGGCCUGAGAGGGUGAUCGGCCACACUGGAACUGAGACACGGUCCAGACUCCUACGGGAGGCAGCAGUGGGGAAUUUUGCGCAAUGGACGAAAGUCUGACGCAGCAACGCCGCGUGGGUGAUGAAGGUCUUCGGAUUGUAAAACCCUAUCGUCGGGGACGAAGGUAGCUUAGUGAACAGCUGAGUUGCUUGACGGUACCCGGAGAGGAAGCCCCGGCUAACUCUGUGCCAGCAGCCGCGGUAAUACAGAGGGGGCAAGCGUUAUUCGGAAUUAUUGGGCGUAAAGGGCGCGUAGGCGGUUUCUUAAGUCGGAUGUGCGAUCCCCGGGCUCAACCUGGGAACUGCAUCCGAGACUGGGAGGCUAGAGUACUGGAGAGGUUGGUGGAAUUCCUCGUGUAGCGGUGAAAUGCGUAGAGAUGAGGAGGAACACCAGUGGCGAA
This 697-nucleotide ribosomal RNA is filed under the name uncultured Acidobacteriota bacterium. RNAcentral's name for it is "bacterial SSU rRNA". It matches the Rfam family "Bacterial small subunit ribosomal RNA", at positions 28 to 719 of the family's 1533-position model. The record is from RNAcentral. Lineage: Bacteria; Pseudomonadati; Acidobacteriota.